This 253-nucleotide ribosomal RNA is filed under the name uncultured bacterium. RNAcentral describes it as "partial 16S ribosomal RNA". It matches the Rfam family "Bacterial small subunit ribosomal RNA", at positions 524 to 776 of the family's 1533-position model. The record is from RNAcentral.
UACAGAGGGCUCAAGCGUUGUUCGGAUUCAUUGGGCGUAAAGGGUGCGUAGGCGGCGCGGUAAGUCGGGUGUGAAAUCUCGGGGCUUAACUCCGAAACUGCAUUCGAUACUGCCGUGCUUGAGGACUGGAGAGGAGACUGGAAUUUACGGUGUAGCGGUGAAAUGCGUAGAUAUCGGGAGGAAUACCGAUGGCGAAGGCAGGUCUCUGGGCUGACACUGACGCUCAUGCACGAAAGCGUGGGGAGCAAACAGG